GCAGUUUUAAGUUCUUCCGCACAGAAAGCCAAGACCUUUCCCGAUGGCAAUUGCGACUACUUAAAAAUUCUGGUUAUUGUGUACAAUUCAUUUACAAAUUCAGCAGCAUACAUGUUAGACACAUGCUCAACAUCAACACCAAGUGUAUAUGCCCUUAGCCACAGAUCCUUCAUUUUCAGCUUCACCUCCGUUGAUAUCAUCUCAAUGAGAGCCACGUACUUGAAUCCCCUAGACAUGAAAAGUUCAAAUGUUCUCGGUUACACAUACGUUCACUGAGUCCCUAUCUGCAUCCAAACAACAAUAUGGUAUACAACGUAAGUUGCUAUGAUCGGAGAAGCCAUUUCUACAUAUUGAUCAAAGUUGUCAACAACAAAUCAGUUCUACACACACACACACACACACACACACACACACAACCUUAAUACCGGUACAUAACAUCAUGUGUUGUCAAUUAGAAUAUAUAUCGCUAUUAUAGCAUUUACCAAAAUUUUUGACACAACCACAAAUUUUUGACCUAACCAAUAUGUUAAUGUAUAUAUAAUAGUAAAAAAAGAAUUUGUUGUUUCUUUAUAGGCAUAUAUGAAUUUUCCCCUUUUUCAAAUUAGGCACAAUAUCCACUGCUGCUUUGUAUUGUAUCCAGCGUCCCAGCCCCCAUUGAUAUGACAAAUUGAACUUUGCAAAAACACACAAAGGCGCAAACUAGACCCUAUAUCUCCCACUCGGGCGGCUCUGCCACUGAAGAGUCUGUGACCUACUGCUACCGAGUGGCCGAGCUUUCAUCGUCCGCCACUUCCCGCCUGCCAGUCCCACAGCUGUGUAAGUGGGCCUCUUUUCUUCUUUCUUUAUUUAUUUUUUUUUUUUUUUUUAAAGUUCAUUUUUUAUGCAAUUGGAGAAUGAUUUGUGACCUUCUAUAGGUUUGAUUUACUUUGGGUAUGCUUCAUUUUCUAGUCUUCUUGUUUUGGGUUUUUAUCUAAUUGACUUUUUUAAUUAUUAAUUACUUGGCUGAUAG
This 1009-nucleotide long non-coding RNA is filed under the name Olea europaea subsp. europaea. The record is from RNAcentral. Lineage: Eukaryota; Viridiplantae; Streptophyta; Magnoliopsida; Lamiales; Oleaceae.